This is a non-coding RNA of Xiphophorus couchianus (Monterrey platyfish), 84 nucleotides long. The record is from the annotation of a RefSeq genome assembly. Lineage: Eukaryota; Metazoa; Chordata; Actinopteri; Cyprinodontiformes; Poeciliidae.
GUCACGGUGGCCGAAAGGUCAAGGCGUUGGACUCGAAAUCCAAUUUCGGUUUCCCCGCACAGGAUUGAAUCCUGUUCCGUGACG